ACUCACUCUAGACUACAAGGAUGGGUGACUUUCGGAAAAAUUAUGUGACGUUACCGACAUUUAUAAGAUAAAAAAAGAUUUCAUUAGUUCCAUUGCACGUUACGUAUGUAUGUGCGCUUCGUUCCUUCAAAGAAAUAUUUUUGUUCAGCAUCAUAAAGAAUUCUUUUUAUUAACUUUACCUGUAGAGGCUUUCUGGAGAGUUCAUGGACCUCUAAUGGAAGUUACAAACCUGAUGGACCAUGAUGGAUCUCUAAUGGACAUCUAUUAGAGAUUUUUGUUUCGUGUGGGUUGUCUACCGAGACUUCAUGGAUUCUCUAUUAACGAUCCACCUAACGUCUAACAGACGUCUAUGGAAGAUAUCUUAUAGACUUGCACGAAGCGGAACUGUGGAUUUCUUGUCGAUGUCUACUGAAAGUCUAAUAGCCGUCUAAUGGAUAUCCAUGAUCGACGUCUACUGGAGGAUUUUGUUCUAUGUGGAUACGUUUUUGACAUAAGGAACUGAGAAGAAUGGUUUGCGAGGAGUGUAAUUUUCGGAACUGUCAAUGGUAUCCACAUCGGAAUCAACGUUUGAACUCUGCAAUUUUCUAUGUAAUAAAUGUUUAAUUCGAUUAUUUAUCGUUGUGAAAAUAAAUUGCAGAGGGUAAGAGUUGUUCAGAAGAAUAUUAAUGGAAUUUACCAGAUUCUUGAUAUGGAAUUCAGGAUGGGAAAGAAAAACUGUUCUAUCGACCAUUCCAAAAACAACACCUCUUUUGUGAGCUACCGGCUGGUGAGAAUGAAAAUUAAGCAAGGUAUCAAGGAAGUUGAUACGGUCAUUAUUCCCGAUCUCCAUAGUGAAUUGUAAUCUGUCAUGAUACAAAUUGAAAUUGUGUAAAAUAUCCUCAAGAAGGUUAGGAGGCGAGGCUAAUAGAAUGUCGUCAAUGUAUCUGACGUAGAACAGGAGAUCAAUAGGAAUUUUAGCAAUCGCAACCUCCUCAAGAUCUUGCAUUACAAUAUCCAUGAUCAUAGGUAAUAAAGGCGAGCCCAUGAGACUACCAAAGAUCUGUUUGUAAAACAUGAAUUGUUGAAUCUAAAAUAAAAGAGACAGCACGAAGAAA
Pogonomyrmex barbatus (red harvester ant) is the source of this 1094-nucleotide long non-coding RNA. Lineage: Eukaryota; Metazoa; Arthropoda; Insecta; Hymenoptera; Formicidae. The record is from RefSeq and is a predicted model, not a curated record.